CGCCCAGUAGGCCUCCUCCUCGUCGUCGUCCUCGUCCCGCGGCUGGCGGCUCAGCUCCGGCAAGCAGUCCCGGUCGGCCUGGGAGGGGUACACCUGCCGGCGCUGGGGGAGUGAUAAAUAGAAAGAGAAGGAGAGACUCUGAUAGCAGUGCUCUACUGCUCCUUUGGCUUCUGCCCUGCAGGCCAAAUCUCUUUCAAAUAGAGAGAGAUGGGACUGGGAGGUAGUGCACCUGAUUGAGCAUACAUUACAAAUUGCAAGGCCUGGGUUCAAG
Molecule: long non-coding RNA, 271 nt
Organism: Erinaceus europaeus (western European hedgehog)
Lineage: Eukaryota; Metazoa; Chordata; Mammalia; Eulipotyphla; Erinaceidae
Exons: 3
Source: RefSeq, a predicted model, not a curated record